UUGCCGUAUUAUUGCUUAUGUUACUUUGUGUUUGCGGGUUAUGUGUAUGAGGAUUACCUUGUGCAAUGUUUUCUGCUUUUUGCCUUGAUGUGGAUUACUGUUUUUGGGACCACAAUAAAGCUUCUAUUGGAUUUUCAAUAUUGCCCAGAUUUUCAAUCUGCUGCCUGAGAGACAAGUCCAUGUUCAAGGUUUGGCAAUACCUUGUAGUGGAAGUGUGGAAAGGCUGGGUUGCAACGAUGCAGACUUUAAAAUCACUUUUAACCUCUGUCUGGAUGAUCUCUUAUUACAUUGGGAGAUGGAGCUGGUAAAGUCAUUGGAAAUCUGGAACUUCUCCGGGUACUUGCAGCUCUGCCAAGAGGGGAAGGUAAUGGAUCAUAACCAGAACCUACCUGUAAGGACUCAAGAGCCCACUUCAGUUCAAGAGUCCUCAGAGUUCACUCAAGAGCCCGCUCCAGAGCCUGCUUCAGUUUGUGAGUUCACUCCAGAGCCCACUCCAGUCUGUGGGAUCGUGAAGCGCCCAUUUUUUUCAAACCAGCUGUCCGACCUACCAAUACUACAUGACAUUCAAAGCUUCAGACAUCAUCAGUCACAUGGUAUUGUCAUUUCAAUACAAGCAUCUGCACAAUGUGUGAUACAGUAGAGGUUGGAAAACUGUGUCAGACCAUCGGAGCCCUUUUAUCAAUCGUCCCAUCACUACUUGUCUGGGGUAUUUUAAGAAUUGGUGGCAAACGCAGAAAGUUCAAGGCCAAUUGGGAACAUGGAGAAGUCAGUUCCACAGCUUUUCUGAGAAUUUUAUUUUUAUUUCCAUUUUAUUUCUCUGUUCUAAUCCAUGAAGCAUGCGACACCUAAGAAUUGCACCUGCGCCAAGAUUGCUCACCGUUUAUAUUCAGAUUGAUACACAUAAGCAAACAAAAAUGCUGCUACUCCUCUGUCUGCCCCAGAUGACACUUCACCAGAACUAGGCGUAGGUGUCACAGCCAAGGUGAGUUAACUUUAAUAUUCAAAGUCACGUGCCUCAACCACAGUGUCCAGUGGCUGUAAACAAUGAGAGAUCAUGGGGCAGGUGAUGCUUAGGUUUCACAGGAUGUGCGCUUCAUUACGGAUUAAAAGAGAGGAAUAAAAUAUAAGGUAAGGUGGCAAAUAGGUAAAUAAGUGUUGAAUUGCACUUUCUAUUUGCUCACAUACAUCCAUUUAAGUGUAAACAGUGAAAGAUGUUGAAACAGAUAUGACACUUAGGUGCCAUGUGCUCCAUUAUGGAUUAGAAGAGAGAGAAUAAACUAUAAAAUGGAAAUAAAAAUAACACUGCAUUUUGCUACAAUUACCACACGGUAUUAUGAUGAAAAUGCAAUCCUAGUGUCAUGUAAGACUAAAUGCAUUUAGGAAAAAUAGCAUUUAAAUGAUAAUUUUGCUACAGUUUUUGCUUGUACAUGUUAAACAUAUCUAAUCAAUUUGGGUAUACAUUUUAAUUUUAAUUUUGCAAUUUAUAAAGCGUUAUAUGUAUUUCAUUGAUAUAUUAAAACUAGUAUAGAAAAUGGCAAAUGCAAAAUACAUUUAAUAUUCAUUUUCAUUUUGGACCAAAUGUUGCAAAAUGUUUUUUUUUUUUUUCAAUCCUGUGGCAAAUCCCCCUGAGGAAGGACCUUAUUUGUCAGGAGCAGGGCACCAUAUGGCACCUGCCCCCAUACCUCUGGAACAUCCACGCUUGGUCCCUUUAUGUGACAAAGAAUUUACAGGGCUAUCAACAGCUGUGAUAGACACAAUCACUCAGGGAAUUAGGACAUGUGUCUUUCCCCUAUGUUUGGGGACCUGCUCCAGCCUAACCCAGCUGAGACUUAAAUCUUGGGGAUCGCAAGUCAAGUUGGUGGAGGAAUUCAUAUGAGUGUCAUCUGAUCCAGGAGAUAGCAGUCUUCUGGUUGUGGAGGCCGAAGAAGUUAUGGAGGCCUCACAGCCUGCCUGACCACAUACAAUGAACUUCUGAAGCUUAUGGGUCAUGCUACAGACAGGUUAGAUCUCUCUUGGAAGCGUAUGAGACCUCAAAUCACUCAUUGCAGACUACAUGAGUGAUUUCUGUCUGGAACACAGCCAGGGCCUUUCCACUGAUGCAGUGCCAGAGCUGUGCUGGAUUACGGAUGUUGUUCUCCGGUCCACUAAGCAAGCACCUGUCAUGAUUGGUCAAUCGAUGGUGGCUAUGGUGCCAACAGAGAGGCAUCUGUGGAUCAGCUUGGCUGACAUCGGGGGAAAAGAGAGGAUCCUCCUCUUCGAUGCAUCAGUUUCACCCUUUGAGCUUUUUGGCACAACCAGUGGUUGAGAAAUUCAGGGAGGUGAAGACACAGUCUGCAGGUUUCAAAAAGAUUUAUACCACAUUGAUCCAGACCUGCACCUCAAACCUCUCAAGGCCCAGUUCUGUCUAGGUCUGAGGACCAAAGCAGUGUGGUAGAGGGUGUCUAUUUUGAUGAUGAGAACAUGUAUAGGCAACACUGUAUGUUAUAUCCUCAAGCAAAUAUGUUGAUGAGAAAAUCU
Molecule: long non-coding RNA, 2517 nt
Organism: Cyprinus carpio (common carp)
Lineage: Eukaryota; Metazoa; Chordata; Actinopteri; Cypriniformes; Cyprinidae
Exons: 4
Source: RefSeq, a predicted model, not a curated record